This 1274-nucleotide long non-coding RNA is filed under the name Cricetulus griseus (Chinese hamster). Its description in RNAcentral is "lncRNA (ENSCGRG00015033180.1)". The record is from RNAcentral. Lineage: Eukaryota; Metazoa; Chordata; Mammalia; Rodentia; Cricetidae.
CCAAGACUCUGACUCUGGGAGAUGGCCUCCUCCCCCAGUCUGGCUUCAGGGAGAGAGGGUGGGACGCUGAGGGCAGUAGACCUGACAGAUGGUAUGCCGUGUUCACAGAUGACACAGAAAGCAGAAUUAUUCAGCUGCUUGUCCCUGCCCUUUCCGCACGAGAAGGGGUGGCCUUCACAAUGAACUCAACAAGGUGGAGGGCUGCUGAGGAGCGGGAAAGAGAAGCCACAGGACACCAAGGACAGGACAAGAAUGGACCGCCACCACCCUUCUCCCGUGCACCUUGCCAACUUCAGGGCCCUCUGCGGCAGAUCUGGAACCUGGAGGGACAAGGUGGCCGGCCAGGCGCAGAGGCACUAAGUCCUGCUCGCCCCUGCCCCCUGGUGGCUGAACAUGGCCUUACAGAAACAGGAUGCUUACUGGAGGCAGGGGUUGUCGAUCUACUCUGGUCCAAAGAAGAGAAAUAAAAAGCAAAUGUCCUUACGUUAGGUACGUGUCCCCGAAGCAUCUCAGCCCAGGCUGAAGUUUCCUUGUCCACUUGUAUACACUCAAUCCUCUUCAGACCUAGGAGAAAUGGGCAGGGAGUUCCUGUCUGCUGGAUGGGUAACACCAUUGGACAAAGGUGGCCCAUGUCCAAGGUGAGAAAAAGAACCAAGGACACGAUUAAUGAUAGCUAGCAUGAAGAGAGAAGAGCAAAGAGUUGUAGUUUUCUGUGUUUCUUUCUUUCUUUUUGUUUUUUGUUUUUUUGAGACAGAGUUUCUCUGUGUAGCCCCGGCUAUCCUGAAACUCACUCUGUUGACCAGGCUGGCCCUGAACUCAAAGAGAUCCACCUGCUGGGAUUUAAGGCAUAUGCCACAUAGUUUUCAAUGAACAUGCAGACAGUGUGGUUUAGCUGGACCGAGUGUGUUCAGCAUGUAUGAGGCUCUGUGUUUAACCUCCAACACCAGAAAUGGAAAAAUAUAAACAAAUAAGAACCGGAUGAACUAGAUAAUACAAAGGAAUGAAGGAAUGAGAGGUUGUCGAACAGGGGAGAGGAGAAAGAUGUAAGAGAAUCGUUCUGAAUCUUUUCUCUUUUUAACCAUUAGCCACCAACUCGUUACCCAAAUUCAAACACAAACCAUGAAGCCGACCUUUCACCCCCACCUGCCAGUCCUGUUUAAUGAGCACUGUCCUGGGCAGGAGCCUGUGUUAGAAGCACUGGAGGGAGAAAAUUGAAAUCCUGUUGUGCAGGCUGUGCCCCAUCUACCCCGAAGAAUCCCUGGGCUGGGUCCUGG